RNAcentral lists this unclassified non-coding RNA (3867 nucleotides) under Hevea brasiliensis (rubber tree). The record is from RNAcentral. Lineage: Eukaryota; Viridiplantae; Streptophyta; Magnoliopsida; Malpighiales; Euphorbiaceae.
GACGGAUUGAAUUUAGGGAUAAUACUGUCAUAAUGCCCUAAGUUCAGGGACCAUGAUGACAUUUAGCCCCGAUCGAAUCGUCAUUAAUUCGCAUAAGCUCCCGGCCAGCUGGUGACUGCUACGGCCAUACGAACAGCCAGCGAUGGAAGGAGAAACGGCGACAUCACCACCAACAGAUCUCUCCAACCCAACCAAACCCCUAGACCACUCCCUUCAAAAAAGGCACCAAGCAAUGCUCGAUCGCCUCUCUAACCGCCAUCAAACCCUCACCAAAUCAUCCUCCUCCUCCUCUGCUACCGAAUCCACCGCUGCUUUCCUUUCCAAAUUAUCCGAUUCCAGAAACUCAAUUGAGUUCCAACUUUCCGAAUCAUCGAAACUCGCCGCCACCGAUAUCAAACUCCUAAAAUCUCAUCUCGUCGAUAUUUCCUCCUCCAUUUCGGCUCUUGAACAACUUGUCGCCGAAAACUCCUACUUACUUCCCUCCUACGAACUUCGUUCCUCUCUCAAAGCCGUCUCGGAACUUAAGCAGUCUCUCGAUAGUCUGAACGCCGAGCUUGUCCCCAAGAAGAAAUUCUCCUUCAAAAACAAAUCUACAAGCAAAUCUUCACUCUCUGAACCUAAAGAAACCGAAAUCACAAAACCCGAAGUACCAAAACCAGCGUUUGCAAUUAGGGAUUUGCCAGGAAUUAGAAACAAAGAAAAUGGGAUAUUAACAAAAAAUUUCAGAAGCUCAGAGACCGGUGAAUUUAUCUUAUCGGAUCUGGAUUCAUGUGAAGUGAGGUUGAUAGGUUGCGUUAAUGCAUUUUUCAUUAAUCGAUUAAGGAAUUGCAGAGUUUAUGCGGGGCCAGUGAUGGGUUCAAUUUUGAUUGAGGAAGUUGAGAACUGCGUGUUUGUGUUGGCUUCACAUCAGAUAAGGAUACAUUACGCGAAAGGAAGUGAUUUUUAUCUGAGAGUGAGGAGUAGGCCUAUAAUUGAGGAUUGUGAAGGCGUUAGAUUCGCGCCUUACCGUUUGAGCUAUGAAGGGAUUGAGGACGAUAUGAGGAAGGCAGGCUUGGCGGAGGACACUGGGAAUUGGAGCAACGUGGACGAUUUCAAGUGGCUGAGGGCUGUGCAGUCGCCCAAUUGGUCUGUUUUGCCGGAAAGUGAGAGGGUCGGGGUAAUUGAGCUCAAGGAUUUGGGAAGCAUGAGUGGAGCGAGUUAGGGUUUAUGGGACCGUGAAGUCUUGUUUAGAUAUGCGAAUUCCAGUGCAGGGAAAUUCUUUUAUAAGCAUCCUACAAAUCUUAGUAAGAUUUACUCUGAAGAUAGGCAUUUUGUCUGUUCUUGAGCGCAUGCAUCUCUUCUGCCUUAUUUUCUAACUGUUCUGGUGCUUGCUAGACUGUUGAUUUUAUUUUAUGGACAAAAUAUGGAACCUUAAGUUGGUAAUCACAUGCGUAGUAGUUCAGACCCAUUGACCGUUUGAGGACACCUCUUCCGACUUUAUUGUUGGCCGUUGUUCAAUUGGAUGGAAUCUUGCCAGUUUUACCACAAUCAUUCCAACUAAAAAAUGGUAGUCAGAAGGUGGGUAAUUUCCUUUGUUAGUUUAGAUUAUAUCCAAAUUUAGUCUUAUUUAGGGCGAAAUCAAAGAUUCGUUUGAAGGUUUCAACUUAGCACCUACUGGAAUUUAGUGCAAAGUGGUUUAUUAAUAUAUUGUAUCAUAUUGUAUGAUGUAAUACAUGAUGAUUUUGUCUAGAUGGUAUAGUAUGGUAAAUAAAUAUAAAGAUUAUUAAAAUACCUUUUACUACUAUUUUAAAUAUAUAAAUGAUUUAAAAAAGCUUAUUUAAAUAAACUAUUAAUUUAUAAAUAAUGUUAUUACAAUAAUAAUCGAAGACACAUUUUUUUUAAUUUAUAACUUAAUGUACCUUGUAAAUAUAUACAUUUCCAUGAAAGAAUGAAUUUUGUGAGAAUAAAAUGGGAGUGCAAAAAUUUUAAACCAUUCUAAAUCUCCAAUUUAGGGAUAAAAGCUGUGGUAAAAUGAUAGUUUGUAAAUUAUUAUUUUAUCACUCAAGACUAUCAUUUUUUAUAAAUAAUCUUUCCAAACAUGUAGAGUAAUUAUAUCCUACAAUAUGAAACCAUCAUAAAUCAUGAUCCAAACAUAGUGGCAGGAAAUCGGAAAUCGUCUCAUUCGGAUUUGGUAAGUGUUAUUGCUCUAUCAAUAUUGUAAAAGUUGGGUUGGCAUUGGAACAUUUUCAGCAAUUCUCAGUCAUAAAAGGUUGUUGUUUUUAUUUCUUUAUGUUUUUUCCCUUCCAUCUAGCACCUAUUAAAUUUAAAAGUCAUGCCAUGGAAUCCUGCACAGAUUUUUCCAACUUUCCAGCUGUUGUGUGUUCGUUAUGAACUUUCACUUAAAAAUCUACAUAUUGACUCAUUUUUCAAUAUUGCAGUUUGGAUUUCUAUAUAUGUAUUCAUCAAAUUUCUGCCGCACGUUACAUUCACACUGAAGUAAUAUUUUCCAUACUCCUGGUAUUACAUUCAUCAUACUUCACUAAAUAAAAGUUUAGUGGGUUUGUUUAGGAGUUAGGACCCACAAUUUGAUCUUCAACUUUAUGUUAGGGAGGCAGGAUUUCAUCAUUUCACAUUUGCAUGGUUACUCUGAGCAAAUUUUAUAUUUAAAUUUAGAGAAAUUUUUAGAUAAAAAUCUGUAUAUUUUGGUGUGAGAGCAUGAAACAGUUGAGAUUGUGUUGAAAUCUUUGGCAAUUUCUCCUCGUUGCAGAAAAGUUUGUGGUUCUAUUUAUACUUACCAACUCCCAUUACUGAUCUACAGUUUUGCACACAGCAUUCUUUUUCAAGCUUUGACUUGAUUCUCUUUGAUUAUGUCUAAUCAGUUUAUAUGCUUAAUUAAUUGUGAUUUGUGAACAGAUCUUGAUGAUAUAAUACUUUCCAUCUCCAUCUCUAACCAUGUGAACUACUUUGCCUGCUCCAUUAUUUGAAAUUUUGACUUGAUUCUCUUACUCUUCUCCCCACAUUGAAAAUAUUUAUCCACAGGCGUGGAUUUGCCUCUCUCAAAAUUGGUUCUUUUCAGGAAACGCAAUCACGUCUUUUGGUUAUAAAUGUUUUUAUUGAUCAAUUUCUGCCCGUAUUCUCUUCUGAUAUCCAAUUGAGUGGUACAGAGAGCAAGAUAAUUGCCAAGGUAUGUAUUUGCUGUCAUUUCAUUGGUGUUAGUCAUUCAGUGCCUGUAAAUUAGUAUUUUGAUAAUGGAAAUGCUGCAAGAUUCAAGUGAUGGACAAUUUUCUUACUUUCUUUUCCAAGUUUAUUUCCUAUAUGCACGGUUGUUCUACAUUUUAUUUACGUUGAUUAUUAUUUUGACAUCAAGCAGAUUAGCUUGUUUCCACACAAGCAAUUGAAUCUAUGUUUUUCUCCUUGGAUGAGUAAUACAGAGAGUCUGAGAAGUUUGAACUCCUUUUUCCUUUCCGUAAGCCUUCAUGCUAGUCUAUGGGAUUGGGGAUUGGGGAUUGAGAACUUGAGAGAUAAAGAUCCAAAUAGUCGCACUUGGAUGGUAAGGUACUGAGGAUUUUUGGCAGCUGAGCAAUUGGGCCCUCAUGUGAACAUCUGUCUUGAUUCUGAGCUGGGUUUCGAUAGACCCUACUAAGGAUUCUGGCCCAUAAAGAGUCUUUUUGUUAAUUUAUAUCUGGGAGGGUUUGGGUACUUGGGUUCAGGAUUUGAUAUUUUAGUUGGUUUUUGGAUUCUAAGAUAGUGAGGUUGAAACCAGAAACUAGACCAUAUAAAAUUCCUUGCCGCCAUUAAAUACGCCUUAAUUUUUGCAAAUUUUGAAUUUUUUUAUCCAUGUAUAAGCUAAUGAAGAUGGAUUUUGUUCAUUCCCAAUUUUUUUUUUUG